This 473-nucleotide ribosomal RNA is filed under the name uncultured Chromohalobacter sp. RNAcentral describes it as "bacterial SSU rRNA". It matches the Rfam family "Bacterial small subunit ribosomal RNA", at positions 59 to 523 of the family's 1533-position model. Lineage: Bacteria; Pseudomonadati; Pseudomonadota; Gammaproteobacteria; Oceanospirillales; Halomonadaceae. The record is from RNAcentral.
AGGUCGAGCGGUAACGGGUCCAGCUUGCUGGAUGCCGACGAGCGGCGGACGGGUGAGUAAUGCAUAGGAAUCUGCCCGGUAGUGGGGGAUAACCUGGGGAAACCCAGGCUAAUACCGCAUACGUCCUACGGGAGAAAGCAGGGGAUCUUCGGACCUUGCGCUAUCGGAUGAGCCUAUGUCGGAUUAGCUGGUUGGUGAGGUAACGGCUCACCAAGGCGACGAUCCGUAGCUGGUCUGAGAGGAUGAUCAGCCACACUGGGACUGAGACACGGCCCAGACUCCUACGGGAGGCAGCAGUGGGGAAUAUUGGACAAUGGGCGCAAGCCUGAUCCAGCCAUGCCGCGUGUGUGAAGAAGGCUUUCGGGUUGUAAAGCACUUUCAGCGGGGAAGAAAGCGUGCCGGUUAAUACCCGGCACGGACGACAUCACCCGCAGAAGAAGCACCGGCUAACUCCGUGCCAGCAGCCGCGGUAA